CAACCAAAACUGCCUUUGAGUUCAGUUUGAGGAAGACGAAAAACGAGCGAAGAAAGAAUCUAAAAGAUGUUUAAGAUCGGCUUGUUAUCUAUACUUACAAUGGCAAGCUUCAUACUUACACAUGCGGGAAAACUCGAUGAACAUUUUUGGGACUAUCACAGCGAAAGUUAUGUCCCAAAGAGACGCUCAAAGACUUCAAACACGGUUUGUUGGCACAAUUGGUCAAAAUGUUAUGUGAGAAAACAGGCGCAACGUUACUGCGGCACCACAAACGUGAGCUGUCUAACUGAAAAAAAAGGUCAAACGAUUACAUGCACGGCUCAUUAUUCUUUAUAACGCAUAAUUAUGAACAGAACUAAGUUCUCUUUGUAGAUUUUAGAAAUUGGCGUGCGUUGUUACGGUGAGAAAAUGCACGUUAUUGUAACAGAUA
Long non-coding RNA from Dendronephthya gigantea, 430 nucleotides. RefSeq lists it as uncharacterized. The transcript has 3 exons. The record is from RefSeq and is a predicted model, not a curated record. Lineage: Eukaryota; Metazoa; Cnidaria; Anthozoa; Malacalcyonacea; Nephtheidae.